UUGGUCAUUUAGAGGAAGUAAAAGUCGUAACAAGGUUUCCGUAGGUGAACCUGCGGAAGGAUCAUUACCAAUUUCAAAGUGUGUAUCGCGUUACCUCGGCGUCUGCAAUUGCUAGGCGUUAGAGAGUUGCGGUCGGAUAGCACUUGAAAACCCCCACCCUUGUCUAUUUAACCUUUGUUGCCUCGGCGGGUUCGCCCGCCAGAGGCCCCUUCUAAACUCUUGUUGUAAACGACGUUUGUCUGAGCUACAAAGCAAUUGUUUAAAACUUUCAACAACGGAUCUCUUGGUUCUGGCAUCGAUGAGGAACGCAGCGAAAUGCGAUAAGUAGUGUGAAUUGCAGAAUUCAGUGAAUCAUCGAAUCUUUGAACGCACAUUGCGCCCUUUGGCAUCCCGAAGGGCAUGCCUGUUCGAGCGUCAUUAUCACCAUUCAAGCCUGGCUUGGUAUUGGGUGCCGUCCUGCCCUCUGCGGCGCGGACGCUCCCUAAAACUAUCGGCGGUGCAGCACCGGCUUCGAGCGUAGCAGACCUUCGCUUUCGGGGACCCGGUGAGGCAGCGGCCGCGACGCACAACCUUUGGUUGACCUCGGAUCAGGUAGGGAUACCCGCUGAACUUAAGCAUAUCAAUAAG
This 627-nucleotide ribosomal RNA is filed under the name uncultured fungus. RNAcentral describes it as "eukaryotic LSU rRNA". The stretch from base 264 to 417 matches the Rfam family "5.8S ribosomal RNA". The record is from RNAcentral. Lineage: Eukaryota; Fungi.